Long non-coding RNA from Olea europaea var. sylvestris, 942 nucleotides. RefSeq lists it as uncharacterized. Lineage: Eukaryota; Viridiplantae; Streptophyta; Magnoliopsida; Lamiales; Oleaceae. The transcript has 2 exons. The record is from RefSeq and is a predicted model, not a curated record.
AGAGGAAAAUUAACACUAGCAAAUUAAGGAGGGAAAUUAAUAAAAUAAAUGCUGCUUUCUCUCUCCACCCACUUUUCCCAAAGCACACUCAUGAAAGGGAGAAAAUUUCCUCUGGCUCACUUGAAAUCUCCAUCUCCACCCAUUUUUCCCAAAUUUUCUAAUUUACAUCUCCACCCAUUUCGAGUCUCAGAAGGGAGAAAGCAAGCUCUGGCUAGCACAUGCUUGAAGUUCUCUGGCCGCAAGCGAGCUCAAGCGCAGUCAGUGCUCAUCUUUACGAAGUCCACAAAUCUUGUUCCACCUAAUCUUAGUCCCAUCUGGUGAAUCGAAUUACUGGAGUUUGGUCUUUAAUGAAGUAAGAUUUGCUAGCAUUGAUAUGGGAUAUUUGGUGAAACAUUGUAUUUGGUUCAAAUUGGUAUUUGAUGACGUUGGCUUAAGUUUGGAACCUGCCUCUCUGUUAAAAUUUGCUAGUGUACCAAUAGGAUCAUUAGAAAUCUUGGUUGGAAUUCUUAUAAAUUUCUUAUUGAUGCAUAGUAUUGGUUGCCAACAAAUUGCAUUCAGAACAUUACUCUAUUGAACAUACUGAAGUCAAUGGGCCUUGGCAUCUAAACUUCCGAAGCUCAAAACAUUGAUUUAUUUCAUUUUGAUAUACUUGCUAUGUACAGGUCUUUAGUAUGAAUUUUUUAUUGGUAUAAUAAUAUUUUUCCACAGACUAAAUGUAUUGACAUUAUGAUAUAAAAUGUUUGGCAAAUGAUUUGCUUUGUGUUAUUAUCGUUCGAACAACAAUGUUUUCUAUUUGAGUUGAUACUCUGUCAUUUUCUUGUGUCAUUGAAUGGGCGAUAGGAAUUAUGGAAUCUAUCAUAAUUGUGGAAGUAGUAGUUAUUACAUAAUUUUUUGUAUGAGGUCGGACUAUUUUGAGCGAAGGCAUGUAAACUAUGUUUGUAA